AUCCAGUUGACGAGUCCCAAACAGGACGAAAUGCGCAUCCUGCCU
This 45-nucleotide non-coding RNA is filed under the name Trichobilharzia regenti. Lineage: Eukaryota; Metazoa; Platyhelminthes; Trematoda; Strigeidida; Schistosomatidae. The record is from RNAcentral.